GAUGAACGCUGGCGGCGUGCCUAAUACAUGCAAGUCGAGCGAACAGACGAGGAGCUUGCUCCUCUGACGUUAGCGGCGGACGGGUGAGUAACACGUGGAUAACCUACCUAUAAGACUGGGAUAACUUCGGGAAACCGGCGCUAAUACCGGAUAAUAUAUUGAACCGCAUGGUUCAAUAGUGAAAGACGGUUUUGCUGUCACUUAUAGAUGGAUCCGCGCCGCAUUAGCUAGUUGGUAAGGUAACGGCUUACCAAGGCAACGAUGCGUAGCCGACCUGAGAGGGUGAUCGGCCACACUGGAACUGAGACACGGUCCAGACUCCUACGGGAGGCAGCAGUAGGGAAUCUUCCGCAAUGGGCGAAAGCCUGACGGAGCAACGCCGCGUGAGUGAUGAAGGUCUUCGGAUCGUAAAACUCUGUUAUUAGGGAAGAACAAAUGUGUAAGUAACUAUGCACGGCUUGACGGUACCUAAUCAGAAAGCCACGGCUAACUACGUG
This 497-nucleotide ribosomal RNA is filed under the name uncultured bacterium. Its description in RNAcentral is "partial 16S ribosomal RNA". It matches the Rfam family "Bacterial small subunit ribosomal RNA", at positions 28 to 507 of the family's 1533-position model. The record is from RNAcentral.